RNAcentral lists this unclassified non-coding RNA (314 nucleotides) under uncultured Trichoderma. Its description in RNAcentral is "sequence contains ITS1". The stretch from base 1 to 105 matches the Rfam family "5.8S ribosomal RNA", at positions 50 to 154 of the family's 154-position model. Lineage: Eukaryota; Fungi; Ascomycota; Sordariomycetes; Hypocreales; Hypocreaceae. The record is from RNAcentral.
GAAAUGCGAUAAGUAAUGUGAAUUGCAGAAUUCAGUGAAUCAUCGAAUCUUUGAACGCACAUUGCGCCCGCCAGUAUUCUGGCGGGCAUGCCUGUCCGAGCGUCAUUUCAACCCUCGAACCCCUCCGGGGGGUCGGCGUUGGGGAUCGGCCCUUUACCGGCCGGCCCCGAAAUACAGUGGCGGUCUCGCCGCAGCCUCUCCUGCGCAGUAGUUUGCACACUCGCACCGGGAGCGCGGCGCAGUCCAAUGCCGUAAAACACCCAACUUUCUGAAAUGUUGACCUCGGAUCAGGUAGGAAUACCCGCUGAACUUAA